This 69-nucleotide transfer RNA is filed under the name Rattus norvegicus (Norway rat). It matches the Rfam family "tRNA". From Rfam's summary of the family: Transfer RNA (tRNA) molecules are approximately 80 nucleotides in length. Their secondary structure includes four short double-helical elements and three loops (D, anti-codon, and T loops). The record is from Rfam by way of RNAcentral. Lineage: Eukaryota; Metazoa; Chordata; Mammalia; Rodentia; Muridae.
GGGGAUUUAGCUCAGUGGUAGAGCGCUUGCCUGGCAAGUGCAAGGCCCUGGGUUCGGUCCCCAGCUCCA